AUUGAACGCUGGCGGCAUGCCUUACACAUGCAAGUCGAACGGUAACGGGCCUUCGGGUGCCGACGAGUGGCGAACGGGUGAGUAAUGCAUCGGAACGUACCUUUCAGUGGGGGAUAACGUAGCGAAAAGUUACGCUAAUACCGCAUAUUCUGUGAGCAGGAAAGCAGGGGAUCGCAAGACCUUGCGCUGAUUGAGCGGCCGAUGUCAGAUUAGCUAGUUGGUGAGGUAAAAGGCUCACCAAGGCGACGAUACUGUAGCGGGUCUGAGAGGAUGAUCCGCCACACUGGAACUGAGACACGGUCCAGACUCCUACGGGAGGCAGCAGUGAGGAAUUUUGGACAAUGGCGAAAGCCUGAUCCAGCC
This 363-nucleotide ribosomal RNA is filed under the name uncultured bacterium. RNAcentral describes it as "bacterial SSU rRNA". It matches the Rfam family "Bacterial small subunit ribosomal RNA", at positions 30 to 393 of the family's 1533-position model. The record is from RNAcentral.